AGUUUGAUUCUGGCUCAGAUUGAACGCUGGCGGGAUGCUUUACACGCUGGUCAGGCAGCAGCACGGACUUCAGUCUGGUGGCGAGUGGCGAACGGGUGAGUAAUGUAUCGGAACGUGCCUAGUAGCGGGGGAUAACUACGCGAAAGCGUAGCUAAUACCGCAUACGCCCUUCGGGGGAAAGCGGGGGACCUUCGGGCCUCGCACUAUUAGAGCGGCCGAUAUCGGAUUAGCUAGUUGGUGGGGGUAACGGCUCACCAAGGCGACGAUCCGUAGCUGGUUUGAGAGGACGACCAGCCACACUGGGACUGAGACACGGCCCAGACUCCUACGGAGGCAGCAGUGGGGGAAUUUUGGACAAUGGAAACCCUGAUCCAGCCAUCCCGCGUGUGCGAUGAAGGCCUUCGGGUUGUAAAGCACUUUUGGCGGGAAAGCGGCUGCAGGAUAAUACCCCGUGCAACUGACGGUACCUGCAGAAUAAGCACCGGCUAACUACGUGCCAGCAGCCGCGGUAAUACGUAGGGUGCAAGCGUUAAUCGGAAUUACUGGGCGUAAAGCGUGCGCAGGCGGUUCGGAAAGAAGAUCUUGAAAUCCCAGAGCUUAACUUUGGAACUGCAUUUUUAACUACCGAGCUAGAGUGUGUCAGAGGAGGUGGAAUUCCGCGUGUAGCAGUGAAAUGCGUAGAUAUGCGGAGGAACACCGAUAGCGAGGGCAGCCUCCUGGGGGAUAACACUGACCUCAUGCACGAAAAACGUGGGGAGCAAACAGGAUUAGAUACCCUGGUAGUCCACGCCCUAAACGAUGUCAACUAGCUGUUGGGGCCUUCGGGCCUUGGUAGCGCAACUAACGCGUGAAGUUGACCGCCUGGGAGUACGGUCGCAAGAUUAAAACUCCAAAGGAAUUGACGGGGACCCGCACAAGCGGUGGAUGAUGUGGAUUAAUUCGAUGCAACGCGAAAAACCUUACCUACCCUUGACAUGUCUGAAUCCCGAAAGAGAUUUGGGGAGUGCUCGCAAGAGAACCGGAACACAGGUGCUGCAUGGCUGUCGUCAGCUCGUGUCGUGAGAUGUUGGGUUAAGUCCCGCAACGAGCGCAGCAUGACAUCGGUAGUUGCUGAAAGGCACUAAUGAGACUGCCGGUGACAAACCGGAGGAAGGUGGGGAUGACGUCAAGUCCUCAUGGCCCUUAUGGGUAGGGCUUCACACGUCAUACAAUGGUCGGGACAGAGGGUCGCCAACCCGCGAGGGGGAGCCAAUCCCAGAAACCCGAUCGUAGUCCGGAUCGCAGUCUGCAACUCGACUGCGUGAAGUCGGAAUCGCUAGUAAUCGCGGAUCAGCAUGUCGCGGUGAAUACGUUCCCGGGUCUUGUACACACCGCCCGUCACACCAUGGGAGUGGGUUUUACCAGAAGUAGUAGCCUAACCGUAAGGAGGGCGAUUACCACGGUAAGUUCAUGACUGGGGGUGAAGUCGUAACAAGGUAA
RNAcentral lists this ribosomal RNA (1479 nucleotides) under uncultured Bordetella sp. Its description in RNAcentral is "partial 16S-23S ribosomal RNA intergenic spacer". It matches the Rfam family "Bacterial small subunit ribosomal RNA". The record is from RNAcentral. Lineage: Bacteria; Pseudomonadati; Pseudomonadota; Betaproteobacteria; Burkholderiales; Alcaligenaceae.